This 106-nucleotide microRNA precursor is filed under the name Nicotiana sylvestris (wood tobacco). RNAcentral describes it as "MIR6152 microRNA precursor family". It matches the Rfam family "MIR6152 microRNA precursor family". The record is from Rfam by way of RNAcentral. RNAcentral also lists the same sequence under 1 other name. Lineage: Eukaryota; Viridiplantae; Streptophyta; Magnoliopsida; Solanales; Solanaceae.
UGGAUAAAUUAUUGUAUUCGAUUGUAUUCGGUUGUAUUCAUGGUGUGAAAUAGGAAAAUACAUUGUUUUUAAACGGAAAGUGAAUCAAUUAACAUAAUAGACUCCU